UACGUAGGGUGCAAGCGUUGUCCGGAAUUAUUGGGCGUAAAGAGCUCGUAGGCGGUUUGUCGCGUCGAAUGUGAAAACCCGGGGCUCAACCCCGGGCCUGCAUUCGAUACGGGCAGACUAGAGGUAUGCAGGGGAGAACGGAAUUCCUGGUGUAGCGGUGAAAUGCGCAGAUAUCGGGAGGAACACCAAUUGCGAAGGCAGCUCGCUGGGACGGUACUGACGCUGAGGCGCGAAAGCGUGGGGAGCAAACAGG
This 253-nucleotide ribosomal RNA is filed under the name uncultured bacterium. RNAcentral describes it as "partial 16S ribosomal RNA". It matches the Rfam family "Bacterial small subunit ribosomal RNA", at positions 524 to 776 of the family's 1533-position model. The record is from RNAcentral.